AGCGAACGCUGGCGGCAGGCCUAAAAAAUGCAGUUGAACCAAACCUUCGGGGAUAGUGGCCGACGGGCGAGAAACACGGGGGAACGUGCCAUUUGGGUCGGAAUAACCUAGGGGAACUUGUUACAAUACCGAAAGUGCCCCUCGGGGGAAAGAAUUAACGCCAUCAGAGCGGCCCGUGUCUGAUUAGCCAGUUGGUGAGGUAACGGCUCACCAAGGCGACGAUCAGUAGCGUGUCUGAGAGGAUGACCAGCCACACGUGGACUGAGACACGGCCCAGACUCCUACGGGAGGCGGCAGUGGGGAAUCUUGCGAAAUGGGCGAAAUCAUGACGCAGCCAUGCCGGGAGAAUGAUGAAGGUCUUGGGAUUGAAAAAUUCUUUCACCGAGGACGAUAUUGACGGUACCCGGAGAAGAAGCCCCGGCUAACUUCGUG
RNAcentral lists this ribosomal RNA (432 nucleotides) under uncultured bacterium. Its description in RNAcentral is "partial 16S ribosomal RNA". It matches the Rfam family "Bacterial small subunit ribosomal RNA", at positions 29 to 507 of the family's 1533-position model. The record is from RNAcentral.